UCCACUGUGGAGCACAUUCAUUCAUAUUUGGCACCAACCCUAUAAUGAGUCUAUUUCCAUUUUCCACCUAGCUGAGCCCUCAUCUGUCUGUCCGGGAGAGAUAUCACUAAAAGAAAAAAAAGUGUAAAAGUCUUGUAAUGCUUAUAUGAACUUCGAAAAUACGAGCUUCACCCAAAGGCAUCAUCCACCACACAAACCUGUCGGACAGAGACCCUGAACGCAACAAGCUGGACUGGACCAAAACGCUCACUGCUGCAGCUGCGUACACUGUGAUUUGAAGGGGAAUAGCAACAAAACGAGGCUAUUUAAUCUUCACUACACGGCCUGGAUUGAACUGGAGGAAGGAAGAUGUCGGCGGUUUAUAAAGAUGACCAGGAGGACUGGCUGACGGUGUGUCUCAAGUACCUGCUCUUUCUCUUCAACUUUCUCUUCUGGGUGGGUGGAGCAGCUGUUUUGGGGGUAGGAGUCUGGACGCUGGUGGAGAAGAGUGACUACUUGAGUCUGCUGGCCUCCAGCACUUUUGCUGUCUCAGCAUAUAUCCUCAUCCUGGCCGGAGGCCUGGUGGUGGUUACGGGCUUCUUGGGCUGUUGCGCUGUCAUCCGGGAGCAGAAAAGCUGUCUGUCCACGUAUUUCUUCUGCCUGCUGCUGAUCUUCUUGAUUGAACUGGUAGCUGGAGUACUGGCUUAUGUCUACUACCAGAGGCUGAGUGAGGAGCUGAAGCAGCAUCUCAACCAGACUAUGACAGAUAACUACGCCCAGCCAGGGAGGGAGGCCAUCACAUUAGCCGUGGACAGACUGCAACAGGACUUCAAGUGCUGUGGCAGCAACAACUCCCGUGAUUGGAUGGUGAGUGUGUACAUUUCGUCAAAGCAGGCAGAAGACAGGGUGGUGCCUGACAGCUGCUGUAAGACCAUCACCCCUCACUGCGGCAAGAGAGACCACCCCUCCAACAUCUACAAGGUGGAGGGCGGUUGCAUCACUAAGCUGGAGCAGUUUCUGGCCGACCACCUGUUGGUCAUUGGUGCUGUGGGAAUAGGAGUGGCUUGUCUGCAGCUGGUCGGGGCAGUGUUGACAGCCGGCUUUAUUUAUCUGCUCUAUAAAGAAGAGGAAGAGGACUUCGGCACGUUGUGAUUUAGCUCUAGAGCAACUUUGUGGUUUAAUCAACCCGGAGAGACGGCAAGGUCUGUGGGAUGGUGUUCACCAGCUGCUUGUACAGAAGGAUCAAGAUGGAGCCGUACUGAGUACGCCAAGGCUCCCAACACACCGUCUUCAACAGGCAGAUGAAACACCUGACCUUCGACCUCUCUGAAUCUUGAACUCUUGACCUGGUGAUCUAAGCCAAGUGCACACACAGAUGCAUUCCAGAUCACCCACAUUGCAGUCGGAAACAAAUCGUGCCACUGACCAACCAGGCUAAAAAAUGACUUCAAUCCAGGCUUCUACAUUUCCGAUACCUGACUGUGACCUCGGCCUACAACAUGUCCUUAUGUCGUUGGCGUAGAUGCAUGCUUUAGUUUGAGCAGGACAAAAGAAAGGGACGUCAUAAUGCAUUCCGCUCUGUUCAACUUAUGAUCCAAAUUAUGUUUUCACUGCGCAGAGAUUUAUAUAUUACUGUUUUUUUUUCUCCCAGUACUUGAGUAAGCUAAGUAUUGGCACAGUUCACACUGGUGUCCCUGCUCACAAAAAAAGGUAAUUUCUGGUUGUAUAUUUUGUAAAACACAAGGUGCCUCUUUCACAAUCCUGCUGGUAAAUGAUUUAUGUUCUAAUUCUGUGCCUGCAAUCUUAAAAAGGGAGAUGACAAUGCACUGUGAUAAAAUGGCAUCAAAUUAAAUCUAGUUUACUAUCUUUAUAUUUGUAGUUAAUGUCUAUAUUCCUGAAAAAUGGCAGCACUGAAUGUUGAACGGCAGUUAUUAAAAAAAUGAAGUGUAUGGCUACAAACGAUGAAGAAAAAGUAAAAAAUUGUUGCCUGAUCCCUGAAUGUACAACUCCACCUAGUGGUUGGCACUGGUCAUACACUACAUGUAUGAUAUUCUAACUAUAUGCUACACUAUACAUCAAAAUCAGCUGUUUAUCUUGAAGAAUAUAUGUGAUUUUUAACAUUAUCAAACAUUAUUUUCUGUGAAUUUAAGACUUGUUUUCAUCCUUUCCCAGACACACACACAAACAGGUUUCAUUCUCUACAGUGAAGAAGUUGACCUUUGUGACAGCUAGAGGCAAAGACUACGUUGUUGUCACUGCCUAAUCUAUCACUUGCCCUCCCUUUUCCUGUAGUUAUUACCUCUGGAACAAUGAGUGGCCUUGUCGCCACCAUACUGUAGAGGUGAUAAGUCUCGUCUCGGCUGUUGUGGGUUAUAAAGUCAGAUAUAUAUACUGUCUGGAUACAGAUGUUUCUGUUCCAAAGAUCAAAUAUCUGUUGCAACAGUAAAACACCAUUACCAAGACCACUCAGAACUCUGUAAAGGGACCUCCUCGGAUUUGUGUUUGUUUUUUCCCCCACCUGAUUGACCUCCAUAUGAAGGGUGCUAAUGUAUGUAGGCAGUUGUUGAUUGGCAUAUGCUCCAACUACUGACUAUUAUGUUAUUCAAAAUAUUGAUAUGACACACAUAAAUAAAUGUUUAAAUAUCAUUGCA
This is an RNA transcript of Sebastes umbrosus (honeycomb rockfish), 2630 nucleotides long. It is a transcript of the gene named tetraspanin 11, with no coding region annotated. The transcript has 10 exons. The record is from RefSeq and is a predicted model, not a curated record. Lineage: Eukaryota; Metazoa; Chordata; Actinopteri; Perciformes; Sebastidae.